AUCCUCCCUCAGCCUGGUGGAAGUGGCUCAUCAUCACGCUGGUGGGUUUAUUCGUCCUCUUCAUCAUCCUCGUGGUCCUCAUCAGACGGAGAGCUGAAGGGAAAAAAACACAGACGGACGAAAGCAUCGGAAUGAGCUCUCAGCAUGCUGGGAUCCAGCCCGGUCCAGAACCCCGUCAGGACGCGGCCGACCCCGAGGAAGGCGUAGCCUACGCCUCCGUCAGCUACACCCAGACGGCCGGAGGAGCAGCGCGGGCUCGGGUCAUUGAUGGUGACGAUGGUGAUGAUGCGGUGACUUACUGCACUGUGAAAGCUCCUCUUCCUCCUUCUUCUUCUUCUUCUUCUGGAGCCUCUGCUGAUCCCAGCGAGCUCUACGCGGUCAUUAACAAACCCAGACACUGAUGAGUUUCGCAACACUUUACAAGGUGAAAGGAUUGUUCCAAAGAUGCUGGUUUUGGUCCUGAAAGACUCUUGUUUGAGCAGUGAGGAGGAUUCUGUUCACGAUGACCUUUGACCCAGUGAACACACCUCAGACUGAGACGCAGUGGACCAGUCAGACUGCAUACUUUGAUGGUGACAUGAGGACACACCCCCUCUGAUGAAGGACAACAAGCUGCAACAAGCUGCAUCACUUCACUCCGUCUGAUGGAAGCUGAAGUGAAGCACGGAGAUCCUUUUCUACAGACCUGCUGAGGACAGAAGAGAGCUGCACACUGAGGAAGAUCAUGUCUACAAGAUCAGUGAAGCUGUGAGCCGCCUUCAAACUUCCCCAAUAUUCACAGAUUCCUCCAACUUGUGUCCACCAAGAGGACGCUGACUUCAUCAGAGAGCAGUGAUUGUUCUCUACAGUUGACAAGGACAGAUGGAGAAAGUCAAGAAGGACAUCCUUGACAUUUUAAAAGAACUCAACGAGGAUGAGUUUGAAGAGUUCAAGUGCCACCUGAAGAACUAUCCAAGCCCAGAGGACCUCCGAUCAAUCCCACCCUGUCACCUGCAGAACGCAGACAGGAUGAAAACAGUGGACCUGAUGGUUCUGUGCUACGACACAGACUCGGUUCAGGUGGCCAUGAAGGUUUUGAAAGAGAUGCGAAUGAACAAUCUGGCUGAAAAAUUAUCCAAAAUGAACUUUACAGAGAUUUUCACCAACUGUCAACUUGAACUCAAAUCCAACCUGAAGGAGAGGUUCCGGUCUGUGUUUGAGGGCAUCGCUGAAGCAGGAAACCCAACCCUUCUGAAUGAGAUCUACACAGAGCUCUACAUCACAGAGGGAGGGACUGCAGAUGUCAAUCAAGAACAUGAGGUCAGACAGAUUCAAACAGCAUCCUGGAGACCAGCCAGACCAGAAACAACCAUUAGACUAGAAGACCUCUUCAAAGCCUCAGCUGGAGAAGAGGAACCAAUCAGAACAGUGAUGACUAAGGGAGUGGCUGGCAUUGGAAAAACAGUCUUAACACAGAAGUUCACUCUGGACUGGGCUGAAGACAAAGACCACCAGGACAUACAGUUCACAUUUCCAUUCACCUUCAGAGAGCUGAAUGUGCUGAGAGAGAAGAAGUUUAGCUUGGUGGAACUUGUUCAUCACUUCUUCAGUGAAACCAGAGAAGCAGGAAUCUGCAGGUUUGAAGAGUUCCAGGUUGUGUUCAUCUUUGACGGUCUGGAUGAGUGUCGACUUCCUCUGGACUUCCACAACAAUGAGAUCCUGACUGAUGUCACAGAGACCUCCUCAGUGGAUGUGCUCCUCACAAACCUCAUCAGGGGGAAGCUGCUUCCCUAUGCUCGCCUUUGGAUAACCACACGACCUGCAGCAGCCAAUCAGAUCCCUCCUGACUGUGUUGGCAUGGUGACAGAGGUCAGAGGGUUCACUGACCCCCAGAAGGAGGAGUACUUCAGGAAGAGGUUCAGCGAUGAGGUGCAGGCCAGCAGGAUCAUUUCUCACAUCAAGACCUCACGAAGCCUCCACAUCAUGUGCCACAUCCCAGUCUUCUGCUGGAUCACUGCUACAUUUGUGGAGGAGGAGUUGAAGACCAGAGAGGGAGGAGAGCUGCCCAAGACCCUGACUGAGAUGUACAUCCAAUUCCUGGUGGUUCAGUCCAAACUGAAGAAGGUCAAGUACGAUGGAGGAGCUGAGACGGAUCCACACUGGAGUCCAGAGAAUAGGAAGAUUAUCGAGUUUCUGGGAAAACUGGCUUUUUAUCAACUGCAGAAAGGAAACCUGAUCUUCUAUGAAUCCGACCUGACAGAGUGUGGCAUCGAUAUCAGAGCAGCCUCAAUGUACUCAGGAGUGUUCACUCAGAUCUUCAGAGAGGAGAAAGGACUGUCCAAGGAGGUGUUCUGCUUCGUCCAUCUGAGUGUUCAGGAGUUUCUGGCAGCUCUUCAUGUCCAUCUGACCUUCAUCAGCUCUGGUGUCAAUCUGCUGUCGGAAGAACAAACAACAUCCCAACGGGCUGAAGUCUUCAUAGACAAUCUUAAACCCAAACGUUUCUACCAGAGAGCUGUGGACCAGGCCUUAAAGAGUCCUAAUGGACACCUGGACUUGUUCCUCCGCUUCCUCCUGGGUCUUUCACUGGAGACCAAUCAGAAUUCCCUACAAGGUCUGCUGACACAGACAGGAAGUCGCUCACAGACCAAUCAGGAGACAUUCCAGUACAUCAAGGAGAAGAUCAAUGAGAAUGUGUCUCCAGAGAAAAGCAUCAAUCUGUUCCACUGUCUGAAUGAACUGAAUGAUGUUUCUCUAGAGGAGGAGAUCCAACAGUCCAUUAGUUCAGGACGUCUCUCCACAGAGAAACUGUCUCCUGCUCAGUGGUCAGCUCUGGUCUUCAUCUUACUGUCAUCAGAACAAGAACUUGGAGUGUUUGACCUGAAGAAAUACUCUGCUUCAGAGGAGACUCUUCUGAGGCUGCUGCCAGUGGUCAAAGUCUCCAACAAAGCUCUACUGAGUGGCUGUAACCUCUCAAAGAGAAGCUGUAAAGAUCUGUCCUCAGUCCUCAGCUCCCAGUCCUCUAGUCUGAGAGAACUGGAUCUGAGUAACAACGACCUGCAGGAUUCAGGAGUGAAGCUGCUGUGUGAUGGACUGGAAAGUCCACACUGUCAUCUGGAGACUCUCAGACUGAGUGACUGUAACCUCUCAGGGGGAAGCUGUGAAGCUCUGUCCUCAGUCCUCAGAUCCCAGUCCUCUAGUCUGAGAGAACUGGAUCUGAGUAACAACGACCUGGAGGAUUCAGGAGUGUGGCUGCUGUGUGAUGGACUGAAGAGUCCACACUGUCACCUGAAGACUCUCAGACUGAGUUUCUGUUUCCUCUCAGAGAUAAUCUGUGAAGAUCUGUCCUCAGUCCUCAGCUCCCAGUCCUCUAGUCUGAGAGAACUAGAUCUGAGUUACAACAACCUGCGGGAUUAUGGAGUGAAGCUGCUGUGUUAUGGACUGAGUCCACACUGUGACCUGGAGACUCUCAGACUGAGUCGCUGUGACCUCUCAGAGAGAAGCUGUGAAGAUCUGUCCUCAGUCCUCAGAUCCCAGUCCUCUAGUCUGAGAGAACUGGAUCUGAGUAACAACGGCCUGCAGGAUUCAGGAGUGAAGCUGCUGUGUGAUGGACUGAAGAGUCCACUCUGUCACCUGGAGACUCUCAGCCUGUCAGGCUGUCUGAUCACAGAGGGAGGCUGUGCUUCUCUGGUCUCAGCUCUGAGAUCCAACCCCUCCCACCUGAGAGAGCUGGACCUGAGCUACAACCAUCCAGGAGACUCGGGAAUGAUGCUGCUUUCUGAUGGACUGAAGGAUCCUAACUGGAGACUGGAGACUCUCAGGGUGGAGCCUGCUGGAGUCCUAUGGUUGAGACCAGGUCUGAAGAAGUAUUCCUGUGAACUCACAAUCGACACAAACACCGUAAACAGGGAACUCAAACUGUCUGACAACAACAGGAAGGUGACAUUUGUGAAGGAGGAGGUUCAGUCAUAUCCUGAUCAUCCAGACAGAUUUGACCUCAGACCUCAGCUGCUGUGUGGAACUGGACUGACUGGUCGCUGUUACUGGGAGGUCGAGUGGAGCGGAAGAGUUUAUGUAUCAGUGAGUUACAGAGGAAUCAAGAGGAAAGGAGUCAGUUAUGACUGUUGGUUUGGAGAGAAUCAUCAGUCCUGGAGUCUGAUCUGCUCUUAUGGAGAUUACUAUGUCCUUCACAACAAGACAUUAAUACCCAUCACCUCCUCCUCUUCAUCCUCUGAUAGAGUAGCAGUGUAUGUGGACUGUCCUGCUGGCUCUCUGUCCUUCUAUGAAGUCUCCUCUGACAGACUGAUCCGCCUCCACACCUUCAACACCACAUUCACUGAACCUCUUUAUCCUGGGUUCAGGUUCAGUUCUGGUUCAUCAGUGUAUCUGGGUCGUCUUUAGGAGGCAGAGUCUCUUCCUGGUGGAGAACCGUCCUCUCUGCUCACCACAUAGUUCAAUCUGUACAGCUGAUGUAGGUCCAUGUGGGUGUAGAUGCAGGUGGAGCAGGUGAGGGGUACCUGAGCUGGUCUGGACUCUGGGGGUCCACAGCUCUCUGGGACUUGUGGUGUUGGAGAUGAACGUGUGAAAGAGCUCAGCGAGGUGUGUUUUAAUGUCUCUGUGCUUGAUGCCUCUGUGGAUGAAUCAAUAAUCAUCAUUUAGAUGUUGGCUCCUAAUUGAAUUAGGGUUUAAUCUUAAUCUUUAUGUGUCACAAUGUUCAAGAAGACAUUUUAUAAAAAGGUCUCUCAUCUGCCUGGAUGGGGACGUCUGGAGGAAUUCAGCCAAACAACAUCUCUCGUUCUGGUAGAUUUAUUCGUCAGAUCACAGGUCAAGUAUAAGUGCUGCGUUUGCAAAGGCAGGAGCAAUCCUACCGGCCCGCAGGCCGGAAGAACACACUAACCAACAUCAGCAAGAACAUCAUGUUUUAUAACCCGAAAGACAAAGAAAAGAUUUAUGUUGGCCCUAAGCUGGCGUAGGGGAGGAUCUUCCUCCCCCCGCAUCUAAAUAUCCGGUCACAUUCAAUGUCCAGAACUCCUGACUUAACGUAAACAAUGAACAGAGUGUGGAUGUUGGAUCGUGUGGUGUGAACCCCCCCUUAUCUUACACAUCUGCUGGUUGACCUGCUGACCUUGAUUCCUCAGUCAGGACAGAAACCGUUCCCAUAUAUAUGUAACCCAAGAAGCUUCUGUUUAUACGUCUGUUUUCUAGUUCUCAACGACAUCAGUCAGGGCACCCCCAUCCUGCCAGACUGUCUGGCCUUGCUGGCACAUCCUGCUUGGUCUCUGACUUUGAAAUCUUCAGCAAAACAGGGCAACAAUUUUCUAACUCAGCACUAAGAAAAAAGCUUUUGAUUAUCACCCCCCUCUCCUCAAUAUGAGAUACAUGGAGAUUUGUGUGUUUUUCAUUUGCUAUUUUUUUCAAGGAUUUUUGUAAUGUCAAAAAUAAGUAAAAUAUCAACGUGUAAUUUUUGUUGAACCGAUUUUAACUUCAAAUCUUUCUAAAUGUGUUCAGUGGAAUCAAAUCUAAUUCCACAUAAUCAGGUUUGUUCUGAACAAAAACCUUUUGAAAGCUUCAUCAAACCUCUGAAGAAGGUUAAAUGACAGAUAACAUCAUGUACUUGUGUUUGUAUUAACGUUAUAUAAUAGUACAACGUUUAGUGCCUCCAUGUAUUACUUUGGCUUCACAGGAAUAGAAUUGUUUGUUUCUAAUGUGAAUAAAGGACUUUUAUUGGAAACAACAUGAGGUGCAGUGACUGGUCCUGGCCAGCAGAGGGACGUCACUGAUGGGAUUAAACCAGUAAACAGGAUUCAUAUUCCCAACAUGUAUCACAGUGACAAUAUAAUAAAGACCAAAUGACACCAAAGGAGAC
Molecule: RNA transcript, 5842 nt
Organism: Pungitius pungitius (ninespine stickleback)
Lineage: Eukaryota; Metazoa; Chordata; Actinopteri; Perciformes; Gasterosteidae
Gene name: NACHT, LRR and PYD domains-containing protein 3-like
Exons: 16
Source: RefSeq, a predicted model, not a curated record